Topomyia yanbarensis is the source of this 951-nucleotide long non-coding RNA. RefSeq lists it as uncharacterized. Lineage: Eukaryota; Metazoa; Arthropoda; Insecta; Diptera; Culicidae. The record is from RefSeq and is a predicted model, not a curated record. The transcript has 4 exons.
UGCAACAUUGGAAUAGUACCGUUCCGAGCAAAAAGUAAGUUCCGAGUGUAAAAGGUGCCGACGAGUCUCCUGUCAGAGCCAAUAGACGGUAAAAUAGAUUGCACCCAACAUACGUUAACCGUGCCGUUCGGAAUGCUCAGGAUAAACAGGAAGUCCGUUAAUAAUAGGGACAGCCAAUAAAUACCUUCCGACGGUGCUGGUUCGUCAUAAAGAGUAGAUAUUCCGUUUCCACAAUUAAUGACUAUGGACGAAUUGAACAUCGAUCUGUGCAAUCUUUAUCUCUGAGGGACGAGAAAGGGCUCAACCCCAGCAAGUCAUCCAACAUGUUAGUGCUAUUACCAUCUCUAUCCACGUUUAUUUUGCCAUAUUUGUGGAUCUAAUGUACACAUCGUCCCAUAAACUAUCGCAUGAUACGAGAAUUAACAUUUAGUGCAUGCUAAUCUGGUGAUCCUUAUUACUGUGAUCAUGUGACAACACUGGUGAUCGUGCUGUACAAAUGAUCGCAACGGCGAUUAAUACUGGAGAGUCGCAAUUGGAACCAUUGCACAAACAUGUGAGAAACCGAGGCUUAAAUUGCAUAUAUUUCGGACGGUAAUUGUAUUUGCUACUCGGAGCAGAUUAGAAAUGCAUCGAAUUCACAACAAUAACCUCAUUUGUGGUGAUCUUUGUGAUGCAGUUCCUUCUGUUGGCAAUCUUCAUAAAAGCGCUACCGAUUUCAACCUAUUUUUGUUUGGUGGUAAAGCCGUUACACUAAAACAAAUAUGCUGGAGCAGGUUUUUAUCUAGUGAUUGAAAAUCAUGAAUAUUCUUAUGCACAGGAUCUAUUUUUUAUAGACUCCUACCUUCUUUAAAAAAAGUGAUUUAGCUAAUUAAAGAAAUUGGAUUUUGAAACAUCUGGGCGUCUAAAGCACACUAUUAAAAUGUAUGUAAAGCCUUAUAUUCAGUUAAUACA